Molecule: non-coding RNA, 849 nt
Filed under: Actinokineospora bangkokensis
Lineage: Bacteria; Bacillati; Actinomycetota; Actinomycetes; Pseudonocardiales; Pseudonocardiaceae
Description: Bacterial small subunit ribosomal RNA
Rfam family: Bacterial small subunit ribosomal RNA
Source: Rfam by way of RNAcentral
GAGUUUGAUCCUGGCUCAGGACGAACGCUGGCGGCGUGCUUAACACAUGCAAGUCGAGCGGUAAGGCCCUUCGGGGUACACGAGCGGCGAACGGGUGAGUAACACGUGGGUAAUCUGCCUCGUACUCUGGGAUAAGCCCGGGAAACUGGGUCUAAUACCGGAUAUGACUCCGCAUCGCAUGGUGUGGGGUGGAAAGUUCCGGCGGUACGGGAUGAACCCGCGGCCUAUCAGCUUGUUGGUGGGGUAGUGGCCUACCAAGGCGACGACGGGUAGCCGGCCUGAGAGGGUGACCGGCCACACUGGGACUGAGACACGGCCCAGACUCCUACGGGAGGCAGCAGUGGGGAAUAUUGCACAAUGGGCGCAAGCCUGAUGCAGCGACGCCGCGUGGGGGAUGACGGCCUUCGGGUUGUAAACCUCUUUCAGCAGGGACGAAGCGCAAGUGACGGUACCUGCAGAAGAAGCACCGGCUAACUACGUGCCAGCAGCCGCGGUAAUACGUAGGGUGCGAGCGUUGUCCGGAAUUAUUGGGCGUAAAGAGCUCGUAGGCGGUUUGUCGCGUCGGCCGUGAAAACCUGGGGCUUAACCCUGGGCCUGCGGUCGAUACGGGCAGACUUGAGUUCGGUAGGGGAGACUGGAAUUCCUGGUGUAGCGGUGAAAUGCGCAGAUAUCAGGAGGAACACCGGUGGCGAAGGCGGGUCUCUGGGCCGAUACUGACGCUGAGGAGCGAAAGCGUGGGGAGCGAACAGGAUUAGAUACCCUGGUAGUCCACGCCGUAAACGGUGGGUGCUAGGUGUGGGGACCAUUCCACGGUUUCCGUGCCGUAGCCAACGCAUUAAGCACCCCGCC